UAGUGGCGCACGGGUGCGUAACGCGUAGGCAAUCUACCCGAUACAGGGGAAUAACACGGGGAAACUCGUGCUAAUACCGCGUAAUAAAUGAGAAGGCAUCUUCUUAUUUUAAAAGCUUCGGCGGUAUCGGAAGAGCCUGCGUCUUAUUAGCUAGUUGGUAAGGUAACAGCUUACCAAGGCGACGAUAGGUAGGGGAACUGAGAGGUUGAUCCCCCACACUGGUACUGAGAUACGGACCAGACUCCUACGGGAGGCAGCAGUGAGGAAUAUUGGUCAAUGGACGGAAGUCUGAACCAGCCAUGUCGCGUGUCGGAAGACGGCCCUCUGGGUUGUAAACGGCUUUUCUUUGGGAAGAACACGCUCUUGCGAGAGCAACUGACGGUACCAAAGGAAUAAGCACCGGCUAACUACGUGCCAGCAGCCGCGGUAAUACGUAGGGUGCAAGCGUUGUCCGGAUUUAUUGGGUUUAAAGGGUGCGUAGGCGGCUAUUUAAGUCGUGGGUGAAAGCCCGUCGCUUAACGACGGAAUUGCCUGCGAUACUGGAUAGCUUGAGUAUCGUUAAGGUUGGCGGAAUGGGAGGUGUAGCGGUGAAAUGCAUAGAUACCUUCCAGAACACCGAUUGCGUAGGCAGCUGACUAGGCGAUAACUGACGCUGAGGCACGAAAGCGUGGGGAGCGAACAGGAUUAGAUACCCUGGUAGUCCACGCCGUAAACGAUGAUGACUCGUUGUUGGACUUCGGUUCAGUGACUAAGGGGAA
This 758-nucleotide ribosomal RNA is filed under the name uncultured bacterium. RNAcentral's name for it is "bacterial SSU rRNA". It matches the Rfam family "Bacterial small subunit ribosomal RNA", at positions 93 to 856 of the family's 1533-position model. The record is from RNAcentral.